This 253-nucleotide ribosomal RNA is filed under the name uncultured bacterium. RNAcentral describes it as "partial 16S ribosomal RNA". It matches the Rfam family "Bacterial small subunit ribosomal RNA", at positions 524 to 776 of the family's 1533-position model. The record is from RNAcentral.
UACGAAGGGAGCUAGCGUUGUUCGGAAUCACUGGGCGUAAAGCGCACGUAGGCGGAUGAGUCAGUCAGGGGUGAAAUCCCAGAGCUCAACUUCGGAACUGCCUUUGAUACAGCACGUCUUGAGUCCGAUAGAGGUGGGUGGAAUUCCUAGUGUAGAGGUGAAAUUCGUAGAUAUUAGGAAGAACACCGGUGGCGAAGGCGGCCCACUGGAUCGGUACUGACGCUGAGGUGCGAAAGCGUGGGGAGCAAACAGG